ACGGUUAUAAAUCAACAUAUUGAUUUAUAAGCAUGGAAAUCCCCUGAGUGAAACAACGAAUUGCUGUGUGUAGUCUUUGCCCAUCUCCCUCGAUGGGCUUUUUUUUAA
Molecule: non-coding RNA, 108 nt
Filed under: Escherichia coli
Lineage: Bacteria; Pseudomonadati; Pseudomonadota; Gammaproteobacteria; Enterobacterales; Enterobacteriaceae
Also listed under: 3 other names
Description: antisense sRNA RprA
Rfam family: RprA RNA
About the family: Translational regulation of the stationary phase sigma factor RpoS is mediated by the formation of a double-stranded RNA stem-loop structure in the upstream region of the rpoS messenger RNA, occluding the translation initiation site. Clones carrying rprA (RpoS regulator RNA A) increased the translation of RpoS.
Source: RNAcentral